Molecule: non-coding RNA, 72 nt
Organism: Halomonas chromatireducens
Lineage: Bacteria; Pseudomonadati; Pseudomonadota; Gammaproteobacteria; Oceanospirillales; Halomonadaceae
Source: Rfam
AACCGCCGUAUACGGAACCGUACGUACGGUGGUGUGGGAGGGCGCCGGGGGUGACCCCGGCCCCUACCCGAU